GUGGCUCAGUUGGUAGAGUGCUUGCCUUUCAUGCAUGAGGACCUGGGUUUGAUUCCUCAGC
This 61-nucleotide transfer RNA is filed under the name Dipodomys ordii (Ord's kangaroo rat). It matches the Rfam family "tRNA", at positions 7 to 64 of the family's 71-position model. From Rfam's summary of the family: Transfer RNA (tRNA) molecules are approximately 80 nucleotides in length. Their secondary structure includes four short double-helical elements and three loops (D, anti-codon, and T loops). Further hydrogen bonds mediate the characteristic L-shaped molecular structure. tRNAs have two regions of fundamental functional importance: the anti-codon, which is responsible for specific mRNA codon recognition, and the 3' end, to which the tRNAs corresponding amino acid is attached (by aminoacyl-tRNA synthetases). tRNAs cope with the degeneracy of the genetic code in two manners: having more than one tRNA (with a specific anti-codon) for a particular amino acid; and 'wobble' base-pairing, i.e. permitting non-standard base-pairing at the 3rd anti-codon position. Lineage: Eukaryota; Metazoa; Chordata; Mammalia; Rodentia; Heteromyidae. The record is from Rfam by way of RNAcentral.